This 553-nucleotide ribosomal RNA is filed under the name uncultured candidate division MSBL6 bacterium. Its description in RNAcentral is "bacterial SSU rRNA". It matches the Rfam family "Bacterial small subunit ribosomal RNA", at positions 926 to 1482 of the family's 1533-position model. The record is from RNAcentral.
CAAGCGGUGGAGCACGUGGUUUAAUUCGAUGAUAAGCGAAGAACCUUACCUGGGCUUGACAUACUAGCAGUAGGAGCCAGAGAUGGUAACGACCCCUACCUUUGGUAGGGGAACUAGUACAGGUGAUGCAUGGCUGUCGUCAGCUCGUGUCGUGGGACGUUGGGUUAAGUCCCGAAACGAGCGCAACCCCUGUUGUUAGUUGCCAGCGGGUAAUGCCGGGGACUCUAACAAGACUGCUGGUGAAUAGCCGGAGGAAGGAGGGGAUGACGUCAAGUCAUCAUGUCCCUUAUGUCCAGGGCGACACACAUGCUACAAUGGGAGGUACAAAGGGCUGCUAAACCGUAAGGUCAUGCGAAUCCCAGAAAGCCUUCCUUAGUUCGGAUUGAGGUCUGCAACCCGACCUCAUGAAGCCGGAAUCGCUAGUAAUCGCAGGUCAGCCACACUGCGGUGAAUAUGUACUCAGGGCUUGUACACACCGCCCGUCACACCAAUCGAGUAGAGGGGACCUGAAGUCGUCUUAUGGGCGCCGAAGGUAACUUCUGUAAGAGGGGUG